This 359-nucleotide unclassified non-coding RNA is filed under the name rhizosphere metagenome. Its description in RNAcentral is "partial ribosomal RNA internal transcribed spacer region". The record is from RNAcentral.
GUAGGUGAACCUGCGGAAGGAUCAUUAACACUUAAAUAAAACCCCUUUUUUUAUAACCCUUUCACGAACCCUUCUAUCUCUUGGUCUGCCUCUCUCUUUGGAGGAGGGAGAUUGAGAGAAGAUCCGCUGUUUGUGAGCUUGAACAAAACGUGUGGACUAACAUUUUCUUUUGACUCGAGCCUACAGAGAGAGGGGGUUUCGGCCUUCUUUUUCUGUUUGCUUUUUUUUAUAAAAACCAGUUAAACCAAAUUUAUAAUGGUGUGCAUGUAUUUGCCUCCAUUCUUUUAAAAAAAAAAAAAUAAAACAAAAAAAAUAAAAAAACAUAAACACAACUCUUAACAAUGGAUAUCUUGGUUCUC